This 1069-nucleotide long non-coding RNA is filed under the name Felis catus (domestic cat). RNAcentral's name for it is "lncRNA (ENSFCAG00000052768.1)". Lineage: Eukaryota; Metazoa; Chordata; Mammalia; Carnivora; Felidae. The record is from RNAcentral.
GAUCAAUUAAUCAGUCAACCAACCAACCAAUCAAUAACACUGAAGCCUCCUGUAUUGUUUUUUUUUUUUUUUUUUUUUUUUUUUUUUUUUUUUUUUUUUUUUUUUUUUUUUUUUUUUUUUUUUUUUUUUUUUUUUUUUUUUUUUUUUUUUUUUUUUUUUUUUUUUUUUUUUUUUUUUUUUUUUUUUUUUUUUUUUUUUUUUUUUUUUUUUUUUUUUUUUUUUUUUUUUUUUUUUUUUUUUUUUUUUUUUUUUUUUUUUUUUUUUUUUUUUUUUUUUUUUUUUUUUUUUUUUUUUUUUUUUUUUUUUUUUUUUUUUUUUUUUUUUUUUUUUUUUUUUUUUUUUUUUUUUUUUUUUUUUUUUUUUUUUUUUUUUUUUUUUUUUUUUUUUUUUUUUUUUUUUUUUUUUUUUUUUUUUUUUUUUUUUUUUUUUUUUUUUUUUUUUUUUUUUUUUUUUUUUUUUUUUUUUUUUUUUUUUUUUUUUUUUUUUUUUUUUUUUUUUUUUUUUUUUUUUUUUUUUUUUUUUUUUUUUUUUUUUUUUUUUUUUUUUUUUUUUUUUUUUUUUUUUUUUUUUUUUUUUUUUUUUUUUUUUUUUUUUUUUUUUUUUUUUUUUUUUUUUUUUUUUUUUUUUUUUUUUUUUUUUUUUUUUUUUUUUUUUUUUUUUUUUUUUUUUUUUUUUUUUUUUUUUUUUUUUUUUUUUUUUUUUUUUUUUUUUUUUUUUUUUUUUUUUUUUUUUUUUUUUUUUUAAUAUCUUUGCCUCUGGGCCUGGUGCCUGUUGCAAAAGAGUUUAACAGUGUGAAGUUGCUUUGGCGAGGUAAGAAGUUAAAUGUUCUUUUUACCAGGGGCACAGUUAACUCUUGUCCACUAAUCCAGCAGAAGAUGAAAAAUGAGGCAAUGGUGAAGAGCCUCUUCCCCACAUCCAGGAGUUGUCCGUCAAAUAUGGAAGGCAUUUCAGAGGGAGGAGAGCAAUGAGACCAGGUUUUGACCCAGGAUGUAUAUAGGAAGCCAAGUAAUAUAUCUGAGAGUAGAUGGUAAUUUGUUGACAAGGGGUGUCUAGGUUUAAGGGCAGAGGG